This 77-nucleotide transfer RNA is filed under the name Rhizoctonia solani AG-1 IB. RNAcentral's name for it is "tRNA-Val". Lineage: Eukaryota; Fungi; Basidiomycota; Agaricomycetes; Cantharellales; Ceratobasidiaceae. The record is from RNAcentral.
UACGCAGAGGGUCUCAGGUUCGAUCCCUGAUGCGACCAGGUCGCAUAGUCUAGUGGUUAUGAUAUCUGCUUUACAGA